Molecule: unclassified non-coding RNA, 411 nt
Filed under: uncultured Funneliformis
Lineage: Eukaryota; Fungi; Glomeromycota; Glomeromycetes; Glomerales; Glomeraceae
Description: sequence contains 28S rRNA gene
Source: RNAcentral
AGUAAAAUAGUACGUGAAAUUGUUGAAAGGGAAACGAUUGAAGUCAGUCGUACCGACGAGAAAUCAGCUCUUCGAGUGCGAACUUGUGGGCGUGCGUGAGUCUUUAACGGGCCUCGCUGUUUGCAAUGUUUGUGCUUUUUGGGUGUACUUUUUCGUAUGGUAGGCCAACGUCAGUUUCGAUUACCAUAAAAUGAUCGGAGGAAUGUAGCUUCGAUCUCGUAUUGAAGUGUUAUAGCCUCUGGUAGAUGUGGUGACCGAAACUGAGGAUUGCAACGAAUACCCUUUGGGCUAUCCGUCUGACCUCUGAAAGUUGCUUAGGUGCCGAAAGCUUGCUUACGGUCAUUUAAGUUGACGGUCAAAAGGUUAGAACGUGAUUACAUUCGUUAAGGACGUUGGCGUAAUGGCUUUAAA